UGGGGAAUUUUGGACAAUGGGGGAAACCCUGAUCCAGCCAUCCCGCGUGUGCGAUGAAGGCCUUCGGGUUGUAAAGCACUUUUGGCAGGAAAGAAACGUCAUGGGUUAAUACCCCGUGAAACUGACGGUACCUGCAGAAUAAGCACCGGCUAACUACGUGCCAGCAGCCGCGGUAAUACGUAGGGUGCAAGCGUUAAUCGGAAUUACUGGGCGUAAAGCGUGCGCAGGCGGUUCGGAAAGAAAGAUGUGAAAUCCCAGAGCUCAACUUUGGAUCUGCAUUUUUAACUACCGGGCUCGAGUGUGUCAGAGGGAGGUGGAAUUCCGCGUGUAGCAGUGAAAUGCGUAGAUAUGCGGAGGAACACCGAUGGCGAAGGCAGCCUCCUGGGAUAACACUGACGCUCAUGCACGAAAGCGUGGGGAGCAAACAGG
RNAcentral lists this ribosomal RNA (429 nucleotides) under Acidobacteriota bacterium. Its description in RNAcentral is "Acidobacteria bacterium partial 16S ribosomal RNA". It matches the Rfam family "Bacterial small subunit ribosomal RNA", at positions 355 to 776 of the family's 1533-position model. The record is from RNAcentral. Lineage: Bacteria; Pseudomonadati; Acidobacteriota.